Molecule: ribosomal RNA, 253 nt
Filed under: uncultured bacterium
Lineage: Bacteria
Description: partial 16S ribosomal RNA
Rfam family: Bacterial small subunit ribosomal RNA
Source: RNAcentral
UACGUAGGGGGCAAGCGUUGUCCGGAUUUAUUGGGCGUAAAGAGCGUGUAGGCGGCUUUACAGGUCCGUUGUGAAAACUCGAGGCUCAACCUCGAGACGCCGGUGGAAACCGUAAGGCUAGAGUCCGGAAGAGGAGAGUGGAAUUCCUGGUGUAGCGGUGAGAUGCGCAGAUAUCAGGAAGAACACCCGUGGCGAAGGCGGCUCUCUGGGACGGUACUGACGCUGAGACGCGAAAGCGUGGGGAGCGAACAGG